ACGGGUGAGUAAUACGUGGGCAACCUGCCCUUGAGACUGGGAUAACUUCGGGAAACCGGAGCUAAUACCGGAUAAUAUAAGGAACCUCCUGGUUCCUUAUUGAAAGAUGGUUUCGGCUAUCACUUAAGGAUGGGCCCGCGGCGCAUUAGCUAGUUGGUGAGGUAACGGCUCACCAAGGCGACGAUGCGUAGCCGACCUGAGAGGGUGAUCGGCCACACUGGGACUGAGACACGGCCCAGACUCCUACGGGAGGCAGCAGUAGGGAAUCUUCCACAAUGGACGAAAGUCUGAUGGAGCAACGCCGCGUGAGUGAUGAAGGCCUUCGGAUCGUAAAGCUCUGUUGUUAGGGAAGAACAAGUGCGAGAGUAACUGCUCGCACCUUGACGGUACCUAACCAGAAAGCCACGGCUAACUACGUGCCAGCAGCCGCGGUAAUACGUAGGUGGCAAGCGUUAUCCGGAAUUAUUGGGCGUAAAGCGCGCGCAGGUGGUUUCUUAAGUCUGAUGUGAAAGCCCACGGCUCAACCGUGGAGGGUCAUUGGAAACUGGGGAACUUGAGUGCAGAAGAGGAAAGUGGAAUUCCAA
RNAcentral lists this ribosomal RNA (584 nucleotides) under uncultured bacterium. Its description in RNAcentral is "bacterial SSU rRNA". It matches the Rfam family "Bacterial small subunit ribosomal RNA", at positions 102 to 672 of the family's 1533-position model. The record is from RNAcentral.